Long non-coding RNA from Alosa sapidissima (American shad), 1390 nucleotides. RefSeq lists it as uncharacterized. The record is from RefSeq and is a predicted model, not a curated record. The transcript is spliced from 4 exons. NCBI's taxonomy places the organism in Eukaryota, Metazoa, Chordata, Actinopteri, Clupeiformes, Clupeidae.
UAUAAUAUCAAAAUAAUAUAAAACAUACUGUAAAAAGUUUCUGUAAAUUUACACCCAGAUUCCAACAUUAUUCACCGGUUUCCUUUAAUAAACAGGACUUUCAGGUCAUUAGUAAGACAAAUAUGUAAAAUCAGGCGAUUUUAGGCGAGAAGAAGAUGAUACGUUGGAUAUUUUUUAGUCUAUGGUUGGAACUUACUGUCUAUGGGUUGGAAUCAUACCCAAACCCAUCGAAAGCCAUCAACACAAUAAGGGAUGUGCGACUGUAGCUGAUGAGUCUUCCAAGCCUAUCUGUGACUCCUCGCCUGAUAUUACUAGGUGAACGACAAGGUAAUCGUCAAAAGUGGAUGGUCAGCAUUGAAUCCUAAAUCGUUUGUGAAGGGUCCAACCUCGGCACAUUUCUAACAGGCCUUGCGACAUGUUUCUCCACCUUCUACAUUCUGAAUCUGCAAUAUCAGGAGGAGGCAGCGUGCACCCUUGAAUUCAUCCAGAGAAAAAAGGCCCAGAAGAAGCCUAAGAACAAUCACUAAUAAGUAAAGUGAAUGUUACUUGAUUUCUCAUGAAUGUUACUUGAUUUCUUCCCUGAUUAUCAUUUAUACUAAUCUCUGUACUUUAAAUUCUUCUGGACACAAUCUGUCAGUUUAUUCAUUCUCACAUGUACACAAGCCGAAUGCGAUGCAAUGAUAUUGAUAAUUGAUAAAUAUCUGUGAUAAUUAUUCUGUAUCUUAUUUGAUUUUGAAAUAGUACUACUGUAGAUAACAUGUCUACAUUUACAUACAUAUCUGAUACACAAGCCUAAUGCGAUGUUUUUAUUUUCCAUUCUUUUGUACCUUAUUCCCGAUUUUUGAAAUACAACUAGAUCUUGUGUCUACAUUUUACAUUCAUACGUGAUACACGAGCCUAAUGCGAUGUUUUUGUUUUUCAUGAUAAUUCUUCUGUACCUUAUUCCUUAAAUACGAUUUUCAAAAACUACUAGAUAGCGUGUCUACUUUUUAAACGGGCCUAAUGCAAUGUUUUUGUUUUCUAUUGUAAUUCCUCUGUGUCUUAUUGCCUGUUCUUUGAAAUCCGAUUUUCAAAAUACUACUACGUAUCUACACUUUACAUUCAUACAUGAUACACAAGCCUAAUGCGAUGUUUUUAUUUUCCAUGAUAAUUCUUCUGUGUCUUAUUCCCUGAUCCUGAAAUAUGAUUAUAGUCAGUCUACAUUUUCCUAAAUUACUAUUUACUAUUAUCUUGCUUCAUGUCCCUUCAUUUUCAUCUUUCAAAAAGAUUACUUUACUGUUAGACUGUCAAGUAAGUGCUGUGAAAUAAAAUAUCUGUUAAACUACAAAUAAGUAACUGAUGUGAAAACAUGGAUUUUUAUCUUUAAAAUGUUGUUAAAAUGAACUCAAUU